GUCCUCACUUCGGCAGUACAUGUACUAAAACUGGAACGAUACAGAGAAGAUUAGCAUGGACCCUGAGCAAGGAUGACAUGCAAAUUCGUGAAGCGUUCCAUAUUUUU
This 107-nucleotide small nuclear RNA is filed under the name Jaculus jaculus (lesser Egyptian jerboa). Lineage: Eukaryota; Metazoa; Chordata; Mammalia; Rodentia; Dipodidae. The record is from RNAcentral.